This 403-nucleotide ribosomal RNA is filed under the name uncultured bacterium. RNAcentral describes it as "partial 16S ribosomal RNA". It matches the Rfam family "Bacterial small subunit ribosomal RNA", at positions 28 to 526 of the family's 1533-position model. The record is from RNAcentral.
GACGAACGCUGGCGGCGUGCCUAAUACAUGCAAGUCGAACGCAGUGGGGACGGGUGAGUAACACGUGGGUAACCUCCCACUAGAGGGGGGAACACUUGGAAACAGGGGCUAAACCGGUACUGAUGGAUGGACCCGCGGUGCAUUAGCAAGUCGGUGAGGUAACGGCUCACCAAGGCCACGAUGCAUAGCCGACCUGAGAGGGUGAUCGGCCACACUGGAACUGAGAAACGGCCCAGACUCCUACGGGAGGCAGCAGUGGGGAAUCUUCGGCAAUGGACGAAAGUCUGACCGAGCAACGCCGCGUGAGUGAAGAAGGUUUUCGGAUCGUAAAACUCUGUUGUUAGAGAAGCGGUAUCUAACCAGAAAGCCACGGCUAACUACGUGCCAGCAGCCGCGGUAAUUC